GGGAAGAGCCUGGUAUGAUUUAGCUGUAAUUAUAGUAGAACAAGUUGGGAAGCUUGACGAUAGAGGGUGAUAGUCCCGUAUACGAAAUAAUCACAGUGGAACUAAGCAUACGAACAAGUAGGACGGGGCACGUGGAACCUUGUCUGAAUAUGGGGGGACCAUCCUCCAAGGCUAAAUACUCCUGAAUGACCGAUAGUGAACUAGUACCGUGAGGGAAAGGUGAAAAGAACCCUUAUAAAGGGAGUGAAAUAGAAUCUGAAACCGCUUGCAUACAAGCAGUAGGAGCAUGAUUUAGUCAUGUGACUGCGUACCUUUUGUAUAAUGGGUCAGCGAGUUAUUUUUAGUGGCGAGGAUAACUGAAUAAGGGAUCCGUAGCGAAAGCGAGUUUUAAUAGGGCGACUAGUCGCUAGGAGUAGACCCGAAACCGGCGCGAUCUAUCCAUGGCCAGGUUGAAGAUUAGG
This 461-nucleotide ribosomal RNA is filed under the name Francisella tularensis. RNAcentral's name for it is "partial 23S ribosomal RNA". It matches the Rfam family "Bacterial large subunit ribosomal RNA", at positions 295 to 756 of the family's 2925-position model. Lineage: Bacteria; Pseudomonadati; Pseudomonadota; Gammaproteobacteria; Thiotrichales; Francisellaceae. The record is from RNAcentral.